CCGUGUGCGCGCGAGGAUUUCUUUUGCAGAGAAUGAAACCACCGUUACUUUCCGUCCGUGGUCUACUCCAGGGUCCCCAUCCCACGCCAUAUUCUGCUGAUGGAGAAAUGGGAUCUGGGAUCUCAUCCAAGGAAAGUGACUUGCCAGGGUUACACCACUGGUAAGUGGAGACCUAUGACUUGAACCUGUCUCUAACUCCAGAGACUGUACUUUCUCUAUCUCUCCCAAAAAGGAUGCUUGUAGAAAACGAUGAUUCUGAAAUGGUACAAAUCCCUUUCCCAAAAGGCACCUCAAAGCCAGCCGCUGCUACUGACUUAUUGAUGGCUAUCACCCAGUGGCCUUGGGGAGGCGGUGGGAAGCCCAACCACUGCCUGUAAUAAGGAGAGACAACUCAGCAUCCACCCUGCAGUGAAUAAUAGAACAAAAAGCUGCCGGCGCCUGCAGGAUCAAAGCACAUGAGCAAUCACAGUGUCUCUGGGUUAAAUAGAUCAGCAAAGGCCAGGCAGCCAGCAGAUGUCAUGGAACUUUUUGGGGGAGAAGUCUGGGUUAUGGAGGAAGCCUCAGCUGGAUUUCAGUACCUUACAAGAUGCUCUUCUGUGGCUCUCUCCUGCUAACCUUCCUUGGACAUGGAAUACUCUUCCCUCUAUCCUCCCUCUUCACCACUGCUGUUCCCAAAGUCUAAAAAGAUGGGGGCAGGAGGUGAGACAGGAGGGGAUGGGAAAAGAAUACUGGACCAGGAGGCAGGAGACACUGGAUCUGUGAGUGUAGGCAAUGCUGAAUGACUUCCAUGGCCUCAGUCUCCCCAUCUGUAAAAUGGGAAGGUUGAUAUAUGGCCUCAACCUUUCUGCCCACUUUGAUAAACCAUAUUUCACCAAAAAGAGGCAGAGGGGAUCUGUUGCUUUUCAGGUUCCUGUCCAGUUACUUCUAGGUCAGACAGAAUGAUUGCCCCAAUGAUUCUGGGUCCGCAGACUCAGUCUGUGAAACCCCAUUUCUUGGAGGAGUUGGGAUCAGGACAGGCAAGAAGACUACACUAUUCCCGCCUCCUAUUUGCUCCCUCUUGCCAGUGGGGAAAUCAGUGGCAACCUUAGAGUAAUCUUGGAGGGGUGGGGGGAUGAGUUAUUAUUGGGAUUUUUAUCUGCAAAGAAUAUUUUCAGAUGUUGUUUGUGCAUUUAAAUGUACAUGCAGUUCUAGAGUAGAAGACCCUAGUGGUUGCGGUGCUGUGAGGCAUUUUGCAUAUGUUUAUCUCACUCAAGAAGAACUGUGGGGUCCUUGUGAAAGUAAGUGUGUGUGUGUGUGUGUGUGUGUGCGCGCGCGUGCAUGUCCUGAGUCAGCCUGAGUCCUGAGCCUUUUGUCUUUGCUCCUGAGUAAGCCACUGGGGGAGGUAAAUAUAUAAUUGGAGGAAGAAAUGUGUCAGGAAAUAACUUCUUUACUUGUGGAAAGUCAUUGAAAACCCUUGGUUUUGCGUAUGAGCACAGCACCCUGUAGGCAGGUGAGGAGUCUUAGAACACGGCGGGGAGCGAACCAGACACGUACUAAAGAAGCCUCCAUGUUUGAUAUAAACCCAAUGCACAGGUCCACACAGACAGGGCAUGGAGGUGUGCUCCACAGGGGCACCACACAGACCUGUGUGAUGGCAAGCCCGGAUGCAUGUACAACUAAACAUCCUCACAGAUACACUUUAAUGUAGGUGGAGACCUGGUGUUAUGGGUUAGACUAUGUCCCCCCACAAAAUAUAUGCUCAAGUCUCAUCUUCCAUCUACAUUAUUUGGAAAUAGGGUCUUUGCAGAUGUAAACUGGUUAAGAUAAUAAAAAAUAAAUAAAUAAAUAAAGGUAAUGGCAACAAUGAAAAAAAAAAGUAAGUCAUCCUGGGAUAGGGUGGGAGAGCCCUAAUUCAAUGUGACUGGUGUCCUCGAAAGAAGAGGGGAAUUUGGACACAGAGACACAGCUGAACUUACUGAGCAGAGCCUCCCAGAUGCUGCAAACUCAAGGAGGCCUCUGUGCUCAUAUCUUUAUUCUCUCUCUCUCUGUCUCUGGUACAGCGUUUAUGCUUUUUGGCAGUUCUUUCCUCUUCAUUCCCCCAUCUCUCCAAUUACACAUUCAUAUACACAUAAACACUCCGAUACCCUCAAACCACCAGAAGCCAUGUCAGAGACUUGAGAGCUUUGGACCAGGAACUGAUGGAGACAAAGAUGACCUAGGAAGAUGGCUACAUUGGGAAUGGAGGCAGAGAUUGGAGUCAUGUGGCCACAAGGGAAGGAACUCCUGGGGCUCCCAGAAGCUGGAAGAAACAAAGAUCCUUCCCCUAUAGGCUUUGGAGGGAGCGUGGCUCUGCAACACCUUGGUUUUGGACUUCUAGCUCCAGAAGUGUAAGAGAAUAAAUUUCUGGAUCUCAUAUUCAGUUCAUGGUGCUAUAUGAUGGUAGCCCUAGAAACUAAGAUACGCAGGUAUGUUGGAUGUAUGGGUCAGGCCCACACCCAGGGUGCAUAGGGCCUUUGGUUAAAAAAAAACUCUCAUUUCUGUGGGGAAUCCAUUGCCAGUAGUCUGGAUGGCAUGGCCACUGCCUCUCUUCAGGGAUGCGCACAAGACCCUGGCCUGGCCAAUCAGAAUACCUCAUGCCCAGGACCACAGUAAUUGGGUCAGGGGUUGUCAAGAUUUAUAUAAAUGAUUUACAUAAAAUGUUUAAAUGUUUUGUUAAAAUAUUUAAAAUAAAAAAAUGUUUCUAAGA
This is a long non-coding RNA of Gorilla gorilla gorilla (western lowland gorilla), 2725 nucleotides long. RefSeq lists it as uncharacterized. The transcript has 3 exons. The record is from RefSeq and is a predicted model, not a curated record. Lineage: Eukaryota; Metazoa; Chordata; Mammalia; Primates; Hominidae.